RNAcentral lists this ribosomal RNA (253 nucleotides) under uncultured bacterium. Its description in RNAcentral is "partial 16S ribosomal RNA". It matches the Rfam family "Bacterial small subunit ribosomal RNA", at positions 524 to 776 of the family's 1533-position model. The record is from RNAcentral.
UACGUAGGGGGCAAGCGUUGUCCGGAUUUAUUGGGCGUAAAGAGCGUGUAGGCGGUUUGGUAGGUCCGUUGUGAAAACUCGAGGCUCAACCUCGAGACGCCGAUGGAAACCAUCAGACUAGAGUCCGGAAGAGGAGAGCGGAAUUCCUGGUGUAGCGGUGAAAUGCGCAGAUAUCAGGAGGAACACCAAUUGCGAAGGCAGCUCGCUGGGACGUUACUGACGCUGAGACGCGAAAGCGUGGGGAGCGAACAGG